This 4558-nucleotide long non-coding RNA is filed under the name Zea mays. Its description in RNAcentral is "long non-coding RNA (ZMAY_LNC003245)". Lineage: Eukaryota; Viridiplantae; Streptophyta; Magnoliopsida; Poales; Poaceae. The record is from RNAcentral.
UUCAUCUCACUCUUGCAUUACUCAAUGCAGGUGCUUGUUGCUCAUCAAGGGGAGUGGGAAGUAGCAGCACAUACACCUUCACUCUCAUAAUAAUGCUGCCCAGGCGCAGUCAUGAUUUAAUUAGAAACUUCUUGUCAAAGGAUGUUUGUUUUUAACUAGUCGUGCGCACUGGUUAAUUCAGUUCAUGUCGUUAUGGUCGUCUUCCCAUUGCUAGCAGAUUAUUAAUGUCUAUUAUGUUUUCUUAUCAUGAUAUCUAUUUAUACUUUGUUGCUUUCCCGUUUAUGCAAUUUUCAAAGGAGACACUGUCGAAAUUUUAUACAUGAAUGUUAGAUGUGUAGUUUAGUAGCAUUCUGGGGUGUUUGUGGAUCCCGGGGUGUUACAGUUGGUAUCAAAGCUUAGGCUUUAGAUUCUUGACAAUUUGAAGAUAAAUUUGACACACUUGCACAUAUAGGAAGGGUAUGGGUUCAAGUAUCUUUGAUAUAUAUUAGUGACUUUGAAGUGCAGAUGACAAUAAUUUCACCCCUCCCGAUUCCUUUACGGUGAUGUGGUAAGUUGUUUAUGGCUUAAUGCUUGAUAUAAUUUAUUUCUGAAAUUUUGAUAUUGUUUUAUUAAUGCGGUAAAUAUCGCUGAUCAUUUGUGAGAAUGAAGUUGUUAUUAUGCUUGUGAUAUACAAGUAUGCCUAUGAUGUUUUCACUAUGUUUUUCAUGGUUGAGUUUUAUUACAAUAAUAUUGUUAUAUAUGCUUGACUGAGGAUGUUUCUAAGAGGAGUGUGAAUUGCAUGUUUUGGGGUACAAGGUAAUCAUCAAUUUGAAUUUAAGUUGUUGAGCGGUUGGUGGAUAGCUCCAACUAUCUUUGCAAAGAAUGAUUGUUUAUGUUGAGAAACCAGUUCUGAAAGAAAUGAAUAUUGGUACUUGUAUAUGGAUUUUGGGGGAAGUCUUUACAUAGCCAGAAUGGCUUACAUGUCUCUCUUCUAUCGUGUGUUUUAGUAGCCACAAAGCCUAGAUGUGGUUUAAAGUGGUUGCAUGUUAGUCAUGAUAAUUGUAGAAUAAAUCUUUGAUUUUUCUUGAUCCAUUGAUUAUGUAUGAAUACGUUGAGGAUUUGAUGGUUCUCUUCCCGAUGCAUGUUUGUGGAGCCAUUGUUGGACCACUUAUCUAUUGGUUUGAAUGAAGUCAUUGCCUAGACUAGAGUUGGUUGUGUGUGGUUAUUCACCUAUUCCUAAAUGAUGUGGUUUUUACAUCAGCUUGGGAUGUUUGCCAAAUGUGUGAAGGAUUACAGGGUUAGUAUUGGCCCUUUAUGUCUGGUACUCUAAGUGCAUCAUAUGAUAGAAUAAAAUGUAACUUUCUGAACUACAAUAGAUGAAGACUCAUAUUAUGUGUAGGUUAACUUUAGUAGUUGGAUAUUUUUCUUAGUUGAGAUGCUGAAUGAAGUAUAGUGACAUGGGUUAAGCAAGUAUUGUGUUGUUGUUGGGCUGUCAGUGCUCUAUGUAGAGUUUUUGACAUUUCUUCGAUGAACUGUGCCGCGCAAGAUUUUAUUGGCUUCUUGUCGGCUUUAUUGCUCCAUUAGUUCUAUAGAUUUUCUCCCUUUUGGUGGGGGGCAAAGUAUGUUAGAUUACAUGAUUAUCUUUUCAUUAUGGCAAGAACAAGGUUUAGGAAGAUUAGGAGUUUUGUUUCAAUAGAACUACUUGUUUCGUCGUGCUGUGAGGUGAGGUGUUUGAUCUUCUUAUACAUUCAUCUGGUGUGGAUGUUUCACCAUUGAAUUAAAAUGAAUUGUUGAAGUUGGUAAAGGUUGUGCUUAGUGCAUAUUACCCCUUCAUAAAAGAGUGUCGUUUUAAGACAUUGAUGCUGAUGUAUGGCUGCAUCCAAAUUCGAUGUUGUGAAAUCGUAGUGUUGAUUGCAUCUAUGACUUGGUUUGAGCUUCAUUACAUGUUGGUUCAUGCUUGAUGUCAGGUUGUGUAGUUUCCUUAGACAAUUAGUCCAAGGUAGAAGUUCUUGUGUUAAUUAAGACCAAUAAUGGACCCAUGUUUCGAAUGGUGGUGCUAUAUGGGGUACCUUGGGUGUUUUGCUUGGAGUGGUCGAAUUCGAGGACGAAUUCUUUUUAAGGGGGGUAGAGUGUAAUAUCCCAAAAAAAAUGUUGCCAAAGGUUUAUCUUCGGUGCAUGGAUGUGGGGAAAGAGUUGUGGGCCGUUGGAUGCAAAGUCAAGAGACAUCUGAGGCGUCGUUUCUUUUUCCCACAAAACCCUAGUGGUCGCCCCCCCUAUUUUUCCCUUUUCUUGGCCGCCAACCCCCCUUUUCCCCACCCUUGGCCGCCCCUCCCCCUUCCCCUUGCAGCCAUCCUCCACUACUUCCUCCUCCCUCUAGAUCUCCCCCCACGCAGCAAGGAUCGAGAAGAGGAGGAGCAAGAUGGAUUGAAGAGGAAGAGAGGAUCAAGGAGAUGUUCUACCCCCAUCUCUUGCAGAUUUUCUUGGGGAAACCCUAGGUAAGGAUAGGAUCCUUGUUCCUCCCUAUAAUUAUAUGCUUUUGGAGGUUGUGGAUCAUGUGGAUUGAAGGAUUAGAGGUUGGAUUAGAUGUGGGGUUAGGUUUCGAUCUCGAAUUUAAUUUCUGCAGAAUGGCAGAUUCGACAGUUUCUGUUCAUGUCAGUUUUUCGUGAUCUUAGUGGCCUCAAAAAAAUAAAAAGUCUAUAUAUGAGUCGUAGAUAAUUUGUAGAUCUUUCCGUGGCCACGAAGAACACCUCAAUCGGACAUCAGAACAGAAAGUUAUUGCAGUUUGAUUAUAGCAGUUUUUCAGUCUCAUAAUUCUGUGCAGAAUCUGUUCUCUUAAGAGUUAGGCAAUUUUAUCAACGGAAUUAAACUGUGGGUUGGUAAAAGAAGUUGUAGAUAACUUCAUAAGCUUUCCAGAUUGUUAAAGAGUGUAUUCAUAUGAUUUAUAAAACUUCAGUUAUGUUUGUUUAACUGUGGCUGUUCCUGUUUGCCUGAUAAAAAUGAUCGGGUCUGUUCACUGGUGGGUUUCAUCUAGUAAAUGGCCGAAUUGGCUCUUCCAACUGUGGAGACUUUUGUAGAGGGAUAAAAGUUCUUACUGCCAGCAGAAUGUCAUAAUUUUUGGUUCAGUAGUUUGGGAGAUAUCGAAUUUUGAAGUUAACUAGGCUGCUGUCUAAAACAGAUUCAGUCAGUUAUCUUGUCAGAUGUUUUAGAAUAUAUUGAUGGCAGAAUUUAAUUAUCCAUUGAAUACCGAAGUUGUAGAUUGUUUUGUGUAGAUACUCUUAGAGUAUUUGUUUGAUAUCACCAAUGUUUUAAUUUUAAAGAUACAAAAUUAACAAACAGCGCUGCUGCUGUAUAGCAUGUGGUUCAGGGUGGGAGUCUUUCCACUAGGUCUUGGUUUCAAGUGUAGGAGUGUUUUGUUGAUUGUUGGCAAAUGUUUGUGAAAUAUUUGUACUAAGUUUUAUGCCCGCUAGCAGGUGGCUACACUCCAGAUCAUGCCUAGUACAUUCUUCUUCUUCGAUGAAGGCAAGUGAAUGUAGCGGUGGUUGCUAUCGUUUUGACCUGUUAUUUCUAUCACCUACACUCUAAUAUGCAGAAUUAUUGGAUUCUUUCAUAAUUGAACUCUAUGAUGAUGUUUUACUUGAUUGUAUUAUGUUGAUGCUCUAUCAUAUAUUGAUGAUUAUUAUGGUUCAAGUAUGACCCAUGAGAUUAAUUCACACCCUUGAAGGCAGAUGAAGUCUUAUUUGAGGUUUGCAUUGUAUCUAAAGGCAUACGAAGUAUUAUUUGAGGAUUGCAUUGUAUCUGAAGGCAGAUAAAGUAUUAUUUGAGGUUUGUAUUGUAUUUAAAGGAAGUGAAAUUUAUUGAUAAAUGCAGCAUGCCAUAUACAUUGCAUGACUCAUUUGCAUAUGAAGUUUUGUCGUGACCUAUGGUCCGACCGUACCGGUACAACUUAGCAUCGUACGUUGCCCGAGGAGGGGUACGAUGCGGCUUCAUACCCUUAGAGGUAUGAAGGCAGAGGACAUAUGCAUUGCAUUCAUAUGAAUACAUUGAAGUGAUAUUUGCAGAUGAUGUGGUUUUAUACCCUCAGAGGUAUGAAGAUAGAGGACCUACACAUUUCAUUCCUAUGCAUACAUUGAAGUGAUAUUUGCAGGUAUUGUUGAUGCAGGGAAGUGUUAUACAACCUAUUGUGGUUGUUCGAGGAAAUGAGAUGGUAUUGGUUAUAUUGUGACUACUGAGUUCUAUAUCUACAAGUAUUUCUGAUCUUGAUUGUGAUUCUUUUAAAAUGUUGAUUAAUUCAAUGUGGUUUAAAUAUCUCGUCAAAACAAUUAGCUUGCUGAGAUGUUUCAUCUCACUCUUGCAUUACUCAAUGCAGGUGCUUGUUGCUCAUCAAGGGGAGUGGGAAGUAGCAGCACAUACACCUUCACUCUCAUAAUAAUGCUGCCCAGGCGCAGUCAUGAUUUAAUUAGAAACUUCUUGUCAAAGGAUGUUUGUUUUUAACUAGUCGUGCGCACUGGUUAAUUCAGUUCAUGUCGUUAUGGUCGUCUUCCCAUUGCUAGCAGAUUAUUAAUGUCUAUUAUGUUUUCUU